Dreissena polymorpha is the source of this 286-nucleotide long non-coding RNA. RefSeq lists it as uncharacterized. The record is from RefSeq and is a predicted model, not a curated record. Lineage: Eukaryota; Metazoa; Mollusca; Bivalvia; Myida; Dreissenidae. The transcript has 3 exons.
UUUCUGAAUGAGAGGUUCAGGCGAGGAUUGGAAACCUCACAGCCCCAGUCAUGGACCAUGUAGAGUGUUCCUCACACAAAGCAGUUUGAUAGCAUUUCAUGUGGUGUAUAUGUUAUUCAGUUUGUGGAGAACUACUUGACGGGGAAGCCCCUACAAUUUUCCUGGACAAGGAAUGACGUGGAGGAAAAGAGAAAACAGAUCGCAUUGUCAUUGACUGCUUUCAGCUGUAGGCAAGGCUCGAUGGUUACAGGGGUCAGGCAGGUCCGCAUAGUCAUUCCCACCCAAG